GAAGAUCAAAACUAGUCUUUAAAAACAGGUUCUGUUACAUCCCAGCUGUUAUGGCGCCAGCUGGCUCACGAGCCGGCUCGGUCUGAGCCGAGCCACAGCAAAAACAAGCCGAGCCGUCUAAAGCAGGCUCGUUGGCUGAGAGAGCCGAGCCGAGCCGAGCCGCUUGAGAGCGAGCCAAAGCCAGGCUCGGAUCAAACUCGGCUCGGCUCGGCUCGUGUCCAGCCCUAUGUGUGACUGAUGUGAUCUAUAAAAUGUGUGGCUUCUUACAGCUCUGGAGAUCGAGACGUCAUCGACAACAUCAUUGCGGGUCUUUGUUCCUUGGCGUCGGCUUUUGCUCCACCACCAUCACCGCCGCCGCCGCCGCCGCCGCCCUCCGAGCCGGAUUAGCUUUUGUUCUUUGGGUCUUGUCUUGCUGUGCCCCAGCGUGAUUCUAUGACUUGAUUGUACUUUGUACUGCUAUGUGAGAUGCUUGGUUCUUUGCUUUAUAAUAUAUAAAGCGGGAGAAACCCCUUUUUCAUAAAACUGAAAACUAAUACGGUGAUACAGCCAACAUCCCCUGCCUUUCAUCCGUCUCACACACAUGCAGAAUUGCGCAGAACUUGGCCAGCCGCCAAGCCCCAAACACACCACAGUUUAUUGAAAGGAAAAAAGCCACAGUACAUCACACAGAGAUUCUAAAAGAGAAGACCCAGCUUGGGCAUAGCAAAUCCACUGAAUAACACUCUGAAAAAAUCGAGUGAUGAAACAUCAUCUAUGUUUUUUCUUUUUCUGUUUUUGCAUCUACUGUAUAUGUUAGCUAGUCAGUGGGAGUGGGACCAUAGAUGGGUGGAAAACCUAUUCUCCAGUGGUGGAUGAACCCAAAUCGGUAUGCAAGACUGCAGCAACAUCUAUGGGGCCGGGUUCCACUGUCAGAGAUAACGGAGCAUCAAAAAAAGAAGAUAAAGUUGAUGAUGGAGGCUUGGCUUACCACGCGAUCUGCUUCCCGGCCGUCGAGCGGCCGCUACCGUUGCUCUCCGCUCUAGUCGCCGCCGCCGCUGCCCUCUCGGUUCAGCUGCAGUCGCCGCCUGGGAAUCUCACGAAGCUCAGGCCGCGGCCUGGUCGUCUGGGUGGUAGGGAGUGGGGAUUAUGGAAGAAGGCGGGACUGCACGAGGCAGAGGCAUGGCAGGCGGGAGAGCGGUGGAGGGGUGGAGCCGCUGGAUCCAUGGGCUGGGCGGAGGGAGCUUUGUAGAUUUGGGGAUAUCUUGGUUGGUGCUCCGACUGAUUGCUUGACCUGAACUGGGUCGUGGGUGUGGGUCGUCGGGGGAGGCGACCUGCGGCACCCUUUCCUUUC
RNAcentral lists this long non-coding RNA (1330 nucleotides) under Triticum aestivum (bread wheat). RNAcentral describes it as "long non-coding RNA (TAES_LNC021350)". Lineage: Eukaryota; Viridiplantae; Streptophyta; Magnoliopsida; Poales; Poaceae. The record is from RNAcentral.